UAACAAAAACAUGGUUUUUUGAUUAUAAUUUAAGAUUGGUUCUGCUCACUGAAUUAUAAAUUUAAAGAGCUGCAGUAUUCUGACUGUGCAAAGGUAGCAAAGUCAUUUGUUUUUUAAUUGUAAACUGGAAUGAAAGAGCUGAUGAGAUAUAAACUGUCUCGGAUUAAUUAAUAGAAAUUAAAAUUUAAGUUAAAAUUCUUAAAUUAGAUUAUUAGACGAGAAGACCCUAUAGAAUUUUAUAAAUUUUGUUUAUUUUUUAUAAAAAGAUUUAAAUUAAUGAGGAGUAAAUUUAAUUUAUUUAAUUGGGAGGAUUAUUAAAUUUAUUUAACUUUAAGUUUUAAGACCAAUGAUUUUUGAUUAAUUGAUUUAAAAAUAAUUAAUAGAUUAAAUUACCUUAGGGAUAACAGCGUAAUAUUUUUGGAGAGAUCAUAUUAAUAAAAAUGUUUGCGACCUCGAUGUUGAAUUAAGAUAAAAAUUAAAUGUAGCAGUUUAAUAUUUAAGUCUGUUCGACUUUUGAAAUCUUACGUGAUCUGAGUUC
This 538-nucleotide ribosomal RNA is filed under the name Neozeleboria cryptoides. RNAcentral's name for it is "partial 16S ribosomal RNA". The stretch from base 400 to 538 matches the Rfam family "Bacterial large subunit ribosomal RNA", at positions 2473 to 2612 of the family's 2925-position model. Lineage: Eukaryota; Metazoa; Arthropoda; Insecta; Hymenoptera; Thynnidae. The record is from RNAcentral.